AUGCUUGUGGCAAAAUAGGUCAGUGCAUUUGGUUGUUAACCAGAAGGUUGGUGGUUUGAGCCCACCCAGGGACA
Non-coding RNA from Podarcis lilfordi (Lilford's wall lizard), 74 nucleotides. NCBI's taxonomy places the organism in Eukaryota, Metazoa, Chordata, Lepidosauria, Squamata, Lacertidae. The record is from the annotation of a GenBank genome assembly.